UGGGUUGACUGGGCAGUCGCUGUUUGAUGUUUUUAAUUAAAUAUCGAGCGGAGGAAAGUCCGGACUUUACAGAGCAGAGUGCCAGGUAACGCCUGGGGGGCUAAAGCCCACGGAAAGUGCCGCAGAAAAUAUACCGCCUGGUUUACCAGGUAAGGGUGAAAAGGUGUCGGUAAGAGCGCACCGCGCUGAUGGUAACAUCAGUGGCAGGGUAAACCCCACUCGAAGCAAGGCCAAAUAGGGUUCCGGUAGACAAGCGAUAUUGCUAAGGUAGUAUCGUGGCUCUUGAGACGUGGCUCGCGUUGGAACCGGGUAGGCUGCUUGAGCGUUAUGGUGACGUAACGCCUAGAUGAAUGAUUGCCCACGACAGAAUCCGGCUUACAGGUUAACCCAAAUU
RNAcentral lists this RNase P RNA (394 nucleotides) under Aliikangiella coralliicola. Its description in RNAcentral is "Bacterial RNase P class A". It matches the Rfam family "Bacterial RNase P class A". Rfam says of the family: Ribonuclease P (RNase P) is a ubiquitous endoribonuclease, found in archaea, bacteria and eukarya as well as chloroplasts and mitochondria. Its best characterised activity is the generation of mature 5'-ends of tRNAs by cleaving the 5'-leader elements of precursor-tRNAs. Lineage: Bacteria; Pseudomonadati; Pseudomonadota; Gammaproteobacteria; Oceanospirillales; Pleioneaceae. The record is from Rfam by way of RNAcentral.